GCUCCUAGUACGAGAGGACCGGAGUGGACGAACCGCUGGUGUUCGGGUUGUCAUGCCAAUGGCAUUGCCCGGUAGCUACGUUCGGAACGGAUAACCGCUGAAAGCAUCUAAGCGGGAAGCCGGCCCAAAGAUGAGUCAUCCCUGACCUUUAAGGUCUGGAAGGGUUGUUAUAGACGAUGACGUUGAUAGGCAGGGUGUGGAAGCGUUGUAAGGCGUUAAGCUAACCUGUACUAAUUGCCCGAGAGGCUUAACCAUACAACGCCUAA
This 266-nucleotide ribosomal RNA is filed under the name Alteromonas hispanica. Its description in RNAcentral is "partial 23S ribosomal RNA". It matches the Rfam family "Bacterial large subunit ribosomal RNA", at positions 2674 to 2925 of the family's 2925-position model. The record is from RNAcentral. Lineage: Bacteria; Pseudomonadati; Pseudomonadota; Gammaproteobacteria; Alteromonadales; Alteromonadaceae.